GAGAUGAGAAUUCACCACUUUAAGAUGGUUAUUGUUCAUCCUAAAGUAACCAGCAACCGCAACAACACAAAAUGACAUUUGACACCCGAACGUCCAAGGGCAAAAUUAUCCAUAUUGCACUGCAUUGCUCAAAACUAAAAUCCGACAAUACCGCAAGGUCCGUUUCAUCACCAGUAACAUUUUGUCUUUUGUCACUGAUGCCGACUUCUGCUCCACGCGCCACCAUGCGCCUUGCCGG
This 238-nucleotide long non-coding RNA is filed under the name Olea europaea (common olive). RNAcentral describes it as "long non-coding RNA (OEUR_LNC004489)". The record is from RNAcentral. Lineage: Eukaryota; Viridiplantae; Streptophyta; Magnoliopsida; Lamiales; Oleaceae.